AUGAACGCUGACAGAAUGCUUAACACAUGCAAGUCGACUCGAGUCUUCGGACUUGGGUGGCGCACGGGUGAGUAACGCGUAAAGAACUUGCCUCUUAGACCGGGACAACAUCUGGAAACGGAUGCUAAUACCGGAUAUUAUGGUUUUUUCGCAUGGAGGAAUCAUGAAAGCUAGAUGCGCUAAGAGAGAGCUUUGCGUCCCAUUAGCUGGUUGGUGAGGUAACGGCCCACCAAGGCAAUGAUGGGUAGCCGGCCUGAGAGGGUGAACGGCCACAAGGGGACUGAGACACGGCCCUUACUCCUACGGGAGGCAGCAGUGGGGAAUAUUGGACAAUGGACCACAAGUCUGAUCCAGCAAUUCUGUGUGCACGAUGACGUUUUUCGGAAUGUAAAGUGCUUUCAGUCGGGAAGAAGUCAGUGACGGUACCGACAGAAGAAGCGACGGCUAAAUACGUGCCAGCAGCCGCGGUAAUACGUAUGUCGCAAGCGUUAUCCGGAUUUAUUGGGCGUAAAGCGCGUCUAGGCGGCAAGGAAAGUCUGAUGUGAAAAUGCGGAGCUCAACUCCGUAUGGCGUUGGAAACUGCCUUACUAGAGUACUGGAGAGGUAGGCGGAACUACAAGUGUAGAGGUGAAAUUCGUAGAUAUUUGUAGGAAUGCCGAUGGGGAAGCCAGCCUACUGGACAGAUACUGACGCUAAGCGCGAAAGCGUGGGUAGCAAACAGG
RNAcentral lists this ribosomal RNA (722 nucleotides) under uncultured Fusobacterium sp. Its description in RNAcentral is "bacterial SSU rRNA". It matches the Rfam family "Bacterial small subunit ribosomal RNA", at positions 29 to 776 of the family's 1533-position model. Lineage: Bacteria; Fusobacteriati; Fusobacteriota; Fusobacteriia; Fusobacteriales; Fusobacteriaceae. The record is from RNAcentral.